UCGUCAGCUCCACAUGUCAAUCGUUGAUUCGAGCACGAAUGACGAGUGCAGAUGGUGAGA
RNAcentral lists this microRNA precursor (60 nucleotides) under Pristionchus pacificus. RNAcentral describes it as "microRNA ppc-mir-2238j precursor". The record is from miRBase by way of RNAcentral. Lineage: Eukaryota; Metazoa; Nematoda; Chromadorea; Rhabditida; Neodiplogasteridae.